AACGUAGGGGGCCAGCGUUGCUCGGAAUUACUGGGCGUAAAGGGUCCGUAGGCGGUGUGGCAAGUCGGAAGUGAAAUCUCUGGGCUUAACCCAGAGGCUGCUCCCGAAACUGCUAUGCUAGAGUGCGAGAGAGGCGAGUGGAAUUGCGGGUGUAGCGGUGAAAUGCGUAGAUAUCCGCGGGAACAUCCGAGGCGAAAGCGGCUCGCUGGAUCGCAACUGACGCUGAGGGACGAAAGCUAGGGGAGCAAACAGG
Molecule: ribosomal RNA, 253 nt
Filed under: uncultured bacterium
Lineage: Bacteria
Description: partial 16S ribosomal RNA
Rfam family: Bacterial small subunit ribosomal RNA
Source: RNAcentral